ACAGGGACAUGUUUACUUCCAGCAACCUGGGCAGAGUUUCCCCAAUAGCCUGCAUCCAAGCCUAGUUCCUGUAAUUGCUUUGACAGCUCAGGUAAUGCCAUGAAGAGUGAUGGUGUUUAAGAAAAAGCGGAGCGUCAGGGUUGGGGAGUGGAGUGCGUUGCCCAGUGGAGGAACUCUGUUCGGAGGCGUUUCCUGUGUGGCGAAUCAGCGGGUGCAUCGCGGUUGCCAUAGUGACCUGACGUCAUUACGGCGACGAUGGAGGCCCUGAAGACUUUUUAUUAGAUUUCAACAUGGCGAGAGAGGCAGGGUUUCGACUUCAGGUGUUUGGGCCGCAGCUGAGGGUGUAGGUACCCCGCGAUGGAAGGUGAAGCUCCCUGGAGUGUGAAGAGACGAAGGGAAUGCUGCAUCCAAGGAAGUCUGCUUUGGGACUCAGUGCUGGCCAUCUCGUGAAGGGGAGGGAGCUGGGACUCUCCUGUUCCCAGUUAUUGGUGGUGGUGGUGGUGGGUCCUGCUCCAGGGUGUCCUGGAGCGACUUUCCAGCUCUUCAUGCUGAUGACCGAGCGCAUAUCAGGUGUCUGAAGGAGGUGGGUUCUGAGGAUCUGGGUGGAGCUGGCUGCUGAAGCUUCUACUACUGAUUUGAAGGCCAGCCUUUCUCAAGAGACCCCCAGCGCUUCCAGUAUGGGAUGCGGCACCUGGCUCAAGGAGGCACUGAAUGACUGGAAUCUUGCUGAGAUGCUGGUGGAUUUUGUAGCACUUGAGGACACUGCACUAGAGACGACAGGACAGGUGCGGACAUUUCCUGUACAUAUAUGAACCCACGCAGCACCGCACGAGCAGCCACUGGACGAACACCACACCUGGCUUCUCUGACCUAUCACUGUGCUCAUGUGAUUCACACCAGGGAAGGGUGCAGACUGUGCACCCAGAACCAGAAGUUCUAAGAGGCGAUGCAGGUGUGGAAUGGAGCUCCUAGACUGGCUAGCAGAGCAAGAGUGAGGAGAUCAGGCUCCCAUCGUGGCGACAGUAGAGCACAGCAUCUCCGGCCACCGUGACAGGUGCAGAUUUCUCCCCACCACAGCUGAUCAGCUCUGCAGAGGUUUCCCAGUGGGCAGCCAGGCGACCCUACUUCCAUUCAGCUCCACCACUGCCCACCGCGAGGCAGCUUCACAUCCCACAGGCCACAGCAGAGAGCUGGAUUGGAAGUGCAGCAGCCAAGUCUCAACCUGGUGCCGAUAGGGAUGCCUGUGCUGCAGGAGGCGGCUUUACCUGCUCUACCACAGUGCCAGUGCCAGCUCCUGAUGUCAACUUCUGAAUCUGGUGCUGUGAACAUUCUCGUUUGUACUGAUGGGGUUCAGGAAUAACUACUCCAAAAUGUGACACUCUGGCAUGCAGAAUGUUGUAAGCUUUGAGAAAAUGGUAGAAGCAGGGAACCCAUUCUCACUGCCGCUCCCUGAAGCAGGUCAUCCACCUUAGCUGGGAUUUUCUUCCCUUCCCCUCAAGUAGCAACUAGGAUGCUCACAGGACAGGUCCCUCUGUCCCCAGAGGACGGGGCCAUCCUUAUCUCUGAAUGAAGGGACACGGAGAACCAUCUGAGCCCGCGGGCCUGGGUGAGUGUCCUCUACUUUACUGUCAUGUGAUCAGACCCCCGCCCCCUGGGGUGUUUCUCCACAACUGUGCCUUGUGCAUCAACCCUGGACUAAAACCCUGUGGGCUAGCUGUUUCCUGGGCCUUCAGUUCCUUUAUGCUAAUUGGUUAGGCAGCAAAUCCUCGCUCCUGACCAUUCCCCCGUCAUUGAUGGUUACUGCUCCUCAAGAGUGGCUAGGCACAGACAGCGCCCAUGUUACAGCUGUCUGUCUGUGUUACAGGUCUGGGUGCUGGAGAACUGUUACAGCUGUCUCUUACAGCUCUGUUCCAGCCCCUCCUCACGCGUUGGGUCACACCUGCUCCUCUGUGCUGAUUCCUGAGGACUGCUGGACUCUUCUGCUGGAGCUGCUCUCCCCUGCCAGGUCUCUUCUCCUCACCAGGAAGACCGAGGCACGCCAGGAACCACUGAGCUCUGGCCGCCAGGCGACCUGCUCAGCAUGCCAGGCUCCAAGGUUUCUGUCUCUCAGGGAGGAAGUUUGAUGAUUGGUCGAACUGUAUGCUAAAGAGGAAUUCUGUGUGAACAAAUCAGGGAGUCAGGAAAACCCACAUGCAAUUGGCUCAGCGAGGAACCAAUCCGCAGUGGCCUACCAUGGCGCUCAGGGGACCUAGGGGAGUUAGCAGUGUUCUGAAACAGGUCCUUGGUGGGCGGGGCCUGGCGAGAAGCAGGAGCCAAUCAGGAGUGGCCAGAGAGGCUUGCAGGUGCAGGAAGCCACAGGGUCCUUAAACUGUAUGGGCCCUCCGGAAAGCCCCGCUGGGUGUCUCUUGGUGUUGAAUGUCCGUCAGGUGGGGGAAAUAUCAGGAAGGAGGGAUGAGAAUUCCUGGGAUCAGCUAAUGUACGGUGGGGUUGACCAGGUAUCUGCCUCCGGAGGAGACUGUGAGAUCCCUUCAGUGACGCUGUUUCUGUGUUCCCGUACACGGAGCCCGUGGUUAGCGGAGCCGGGUGGUUAGCGUCUCCUCAUCUGUGCUAGCGCCGGGCAGCCGCUCGGCAUGCUGAGUGAUGUGACAGGGCCCCCUCAGGGCCUGCCUCGAGCACGGGGCUGCUGCUCAGGAGAGCCCGGCUGGGGUUUAGGCCUUUCCAGAGAGGAAGUUUGCCAAUGGCUGGAGGUGCGUGCUCACCGGGUGUUCUCCGGGAAGCAAUCAGCCUUAAGGAGGAAGCGCUGCGCCCUAAGGGGCCACGGGGUCAGGGCCAAGGGGAGGGGGAAGGCGGUGAAGAAGAGGAGCUGUGUAGGUGAAGGAACAAGAAGGCACAGCCCACGGGGCUGGGGUGCCGUUUCACUUCCCGGAGGGCGGCCGGCCGGCCAAGGGCUGUGCCUGCAGAACCACCCCAGCAGCAGCCAGAGGGCUCAGAGGGUGCGCGGCCAUAGUUCGGCUGUUGGGGGUGCGACGGGGGCUUCUGGUGCAGGGCCCAGAGCUCGCAGGGCGUUCGCCUUUGUGGCUGCACCGCCGGCCCGGGGAGCCCGCAGCAGCCGGCAAGCAGCUCUCUGGGUGACAGGGAAGCAGGCCUUGUUCCCAGAUGAGCCAGGUGUGGACAGAGGCCCAGAGACAAACUGCUCGGCUGAGGGCACAUUUUGCGUUGGGGGUGGCAUUGCCCCGCUAGGAAGAGCCAGGCGUGCAAGGACAGCACCCUGGGUCUGUGCCCGGGGAGUCCUCCCCAGCGUCCAUUUUCAGGUGAACUUCCCGGCAGCAGGGCUGUGCUGGGGCAGGCUCACUGCCCCCAGGUGCUGCAGCCUAGGGCCUCUGCUUAGUAAGCCCUCUCAGGUGGUGGCACAGGCUUUUUUCAUGGAAAGACCAAGUAACAGGGAUUUAAGGAGGCAUUUCCUGAGUGGACUAGCAGCCUGUUAAUGGCAUUUAUCUCUGAAACUCAUCAUGGUGGCUUUGUGGAUGUUGACUACUUUUAAGGCAAUCCACAUGGCCUUGUGUGAGAGGGCUUCCACCUUCAGAUGUGUGGACACAGCAGCGGCUCUGAGUCUAACCUUGGUGGGGAGUGAAGCCCCUACAGCGUGUGGAGAGAACGGAUCCCACCUCCACCUCUGCCCCGGCCUGGCUUGCUGUGGGUCUCCAUGGGGCUGUCUCAUGUGGAAUGGUGAAUGGAGUGUCCCACUGCAGGGUGUCCUGGCGCCACUUUCCAUGCAAAGACAGGCGUGUCAUGAUGGGCCUGUACCGACUCCUGACCUCAGCUUCCCCCGUGUAAAAUGGGAGUAAUAAAGCUCCGCCUCAGAGUCGGGCAGCCAUCAGGGAUAACACCUGCUCUAGAGCUCACCAGUCCCUCCCAUGCCUCUCUCUGCUGGGUGCUGGGGUAUGCACCUGGCUCUGAGGUCCCUGAGCCGUCAGACAUGAUAAUAUGCAUUCUGCAAUGACUGCUCUGGUUUCAGCCAUUCUACAGUGGGGGUGUGUGGUAAGCAAGGAGUUUAUCUAGUGUUGUUAAAUUUGUCAGCUACAGCAAUUCAGUGUUUUCAAGAGUAAUAGCUUGUCCUUUGUCAUAUGACAGUGGUACCCCUUGGUGUCCCCAAACACCAUUGUUGUGUUUCCCAGGACGUAAGGUUUCGGUUCAGUAGUACCCAGUGUCUCCUCACCUCCUGCUGCCCUAUGCCCAGGGAAGCGCAGCGCUCCUGUCCCUGUGCGUUAGGAUUCUUGCCCAAGACACUGGAGAUGAAUGGAGUCUUAGAGAUGUGUAUGUUUUUGGUGAUGUUGAUUUGCCUUCUUUGAUACGAUUUGUUUUUCAUUUGACCUGUUUUGUUGCACAUGUCCACAUUUACUGCUGAGUAGUAUUCUGCUCUGGAAGUCUAAUAUUGUAUGUUUUAUCCAUUCACCACUUGAGGAAAUCGUGUGUUGUUUCCAUCUGGGGCUGUUGUAUGUGAAUCUGCCAUGGACCAUAGUGCACUCAUGGGUCUUUGCAGGGACAUAGGACUUCUUCCCUAGGACAGAUACUUGGGAGUGCACUGGCUACAUCAUACUGUAGAAGUAAGAUUGAUGUUGUGGGGGCCGGCUUAGUGACAUAGUGGGCUUAGCCUAUGCCACUGGUUUGUGUCCUGGCUUCUAUUCUUCCAAUCUGUCUCUCUGCUUAUGGUCUGCGAAAGCAGUAGAAGAUGGCCCAAGUAUUUGGGCUUCUGUACCUGAGUGGGAGGCUCGGGAGAAUUUCUGGCAUCUGGCUCUGGAUAGGCCCAGCUCCUGCUAUUGUGGUCAUCUGGGGAGUGAAGCAGCGGAUAGAAGACCUUUCUGUCUGUAACUUCGCCUCUCAAAUAAAUAAAAUCUUUUAAAAAAUCGAUAUUGUGAUGCACUGACAGAUGGUUGCCAGUGUGGUUGCACCAGUUUUCAUUGGCCUUGCAGUGUAUGAGAGUUUCAUCUUACACAAACCUGCUGGUACGUGGGAUGGUUGGGGUUUUGAUAGACUGUGGUCAUUCUCUAGUAAUGUAAUUGUAUUUCAUUGUCGUUUUCAUUGAUCUUUCCCUAAAGAUUAAUUGUGUUCAGUGAUUUCUGUGUUCUUGUUUGACAUUUGUAUAUCUUCUUUAGUGUAUCAUCUAGUCACUUCUUUAGCCUGUUUCUUUUCUCAAAAUUAUUUUCUUCAUUUGAUAGAGCCAGAGAGAGAUGGAGUUCGAGAUCUCUUCUUUCUGCUGUUUCACUGCCCUAAUAGCAACAACAGCCAGGUCUGUGCCAGGAUGAAACCAGGAGCCAGGAACUUCAUCCUGAUCUCCCAAGUGGGUGGCAGGUGCCCCGGUCCCUGGAGUGUGUUCUGCUGCUUUACCAGUGCACUAUCAGGCAGCUGUGUCAGAAGCAGAGCUCCUGGUUCCUGAAACAGCACUCUGAUACGGAAUAUCAGCUUCACAAGUGGCGGCUUAACCCGCUGUGCCACAACACUGGUCUGUGCCUGCUUCUUUGUUGGACCAUUAGCUGUCUUUUUUAUGACUUCUGUGAGGUUUCUCUGUUUUCUGAUUAAAAAUCAGUUAUCACAUACAUGAUGUUAAACUAAUUUCUCCGGGCCAUGGCCUUGUCUUUUUUUCUGAACACUGUAUGGAAAAACUGAAGUUCCUGAAUCUGAGGAAGUUUCAUUUAUUAAUUUCUGGAUGGGAAGCAGAGCAGUCGGCACUCACACUGAUGCUGCUAUGGGCUGCUGGUAUCCAGGUGGCAGCUUAACCCAGUGUGUACAACGUGGCCCAUAUUUAUUUAUGUGAAAUGGGGAGAAUCUUCCAUGCUGUGUUUUAUGCCAGAGCCAGAACCCUGUAACUCCAUCUGGAUCUCCCACAUGAUGUCAGGGCCCAAUGCCUCGGGCCAUCUUCUGUUGCUUUCCCAGGGAGCUGCAUCGAAACCAGAGCAUCCUGGGAUCAUCCUGUGCUCUGAUGUGGGAUCCCAGCCUGGAGGCUGCCGCUUCACCCACUGCAUGACCACACCAACAUCUGAGGUUUUCUUUUGUUCUCUCAGCAAUAUGGUGGUAUUAGGUGUACAAGUUUUGUGCAUGUGUAAUCAGAUUAUUUUCAAAAAUUCUUACUUUCUCUUGCUUCUGUAGUUGGUAUUUGAAAAGAUUUAUUUAUUUACUUACUUAUUUACUCAUUGAGAGUGAGGGACAGAUCUUCCAUCUGCAUGUUCACUCCCUAAAAUAGUCACCACAGCCAGUACUGGGCCAGGUUGAACCCAGAAUGCCUGAAGUCCAUCCAGGUCUCCCACAUGAGUGGCAGGCCCCAAGCACUUGGGCCAUCUUCCCCUGCUUUCCUAGGUGCAUUAUGAUGGGGCUGGAUUGGAAGCAGAGCAGCUGGGACUUGAACCGGCACUCCGACGUGGGAUGACCCUGGUGAGUCGCAGCAGAACUCACUGCGCCACAAUGCAGAUCCCUAUUUUCAAGAACACUUGCUAAUUAUUGGUGUUGUCUGAACUGUCAGUGACAAGAGUUUCACAGUAGCUGUUGAGGAACUUGUUAGUUGGAAGCUCAGGCUAUUGUAGAAUGGACAGAGUAUUGAUGCUUCAUUUGUGGUUACUGGUAUUUAUCAGCUUGUAGAAGGCAAUGACAGUCUACUGAUACUGGCAAGGCAUAUGUUCUAGAGAAUUCAUGCAGCUUCAGAAAAAUCCCAGUGAAUGCAUACUUUAGCCAUUUUCCACUUUAUAUGUGUAUUUACAAGUGGAUCUGUUGUGUGUGGUUUUCUUUAUCCCUGUAAAUCCACCUCAGGGAACACCUGGGAUUGUGGGUGGUGAGAGCGAGAAUGAGAAACAGCGUGUGUGUGUGUGUGUGUGUGUGUGUGUGUCACUGAGGCUCCCAGGUGUGUUUAUGGCAAGGGUACUUCAUCACUGGCCAUGCCCGUUAUACUUGCUUCCUAGACACACGGAACAGGUUUCCUUUCCCAGCACGGGUACCAUGGGGGCUCAGUGACUGCUGACAUUUUGUCUUUGGUGUGGAUUUCUGGAAGAGAGACAGCCGGUCCCAGGAGAGAACAACUGUGUAAUCACAGGAGGUGACUUCAAGUCCCCUCCACGGGGCAUCUGCUACAUGACAUUUUGAAGGGACGUCUCUUCCAGCCUGUUCAGAAACCACAUGCUCCAUCCCAGGAAAGGCUAAAGGGAGAGGGAAGCCUGUGGCCCCACCCAUGAGACCACGCAGGGUGACCUUGGCCCUUUCUGCAUCUGUGAGUGGGGUCCCUUCAGGAGACAGCUGCCCCUUAGUGCUGGGUGCCUCAGUUUCCCAGGGUUAAUCCUCUCCCCACUCACCCCCAUCAUUGCUGUGCAGAUGCUGAGUUUCCAGCAUUCAGGGUGAAGGUCAGGCUGACCUUGCCUGGAAUGGGGUCCGUUUGAGGCCCUAGAGCAUGGGCUGGACUCUGCCAUCCGUGUUGCUCCAGUGUUGCUCCCUUGACAGAGGACUUGAGAUGGACUCAGAAGGUGGAGGAGGCUGUGCCGACUGCACUGAGAGGGCCUGGUGCCCCAUGAACCCCACUGUGUAUCUACUACAUUCACUAGAUGGAGCUGUGGGAGUGGGCGGGAAAUGAAACCAUGCAUGUAUCCUGUCAGCCUUUGUAAACAUAUAGAUUUUUAAGGGGAGUUGGAGAAACACUGUAGUGUUUUUGUGUUAUCACCUUUGAGGGAAAAUCUGUUUAAAAAAUUUAGUUGGGGAUGGGGGCACAAAAAUAACCUGAAGAAAGGGGAUAACACUGUCACCUGGUGACCAGGGUCAGAACUGCAGGAGUAAGGUUUCAACCAGGGUAGAGGGUUGGAGGGGAGUGAGUUUCAUGGAUUCCAUUGUAUAGAGCAAAGCUUUCUGAAAUUUUCUGCACACUCAUCACAAUCUUCCUAUAGUCAUGUGUUCCCUGGGAUCUUUCAGCUCUGGGACUACAGUCCAGCCUGUUUGUGAACUGAGUGGAAAACUGCUGGACUUGGUAUGUGAACAGCUGUUGCGAAGAAGCCUGAGAGACAAACAAGCACACACCCAUGCACACAGACACACUGUCAGAUAACUUGUUUUUAUCUGCUAUUUUGCACGGAAAACAGUAUUCUGUGAACUUGCUUACACAGCAAAGACUAGAGAGAACUGUUUCGAAACAGUUCAGUUAUUUCAUGUUUUGAGCAUUUUGUACAAUAAAGUCUCCUUAUUAGAAACACUAGAGUUUCCAUAUUUAAAACUCAGGUAAAUUGGGGCUGGUGCUCUGAUGUAAUGGAGCGGGUAAAGCCACCACCUCUAGUGCCGGCAUCUCAUAUGGGUGCUGGUUCGAGUCCUGGCUGUUCCCCUUUGAUCCAGCUCUCUGCUGUGGCCUGGGAAAGCAGUAGAAGAUGGCCCAAGUCCUUGGGCCCCUGCACCCAUUAUGUGGGAGACCUGGAGGAAGCUCCUGGAUUCUGGCUUUGGAUCAGCCCAGCUCUGGUCGACCAUCUGGGUAGUAAGCCAGAAAAUGGAAGACUUCUCUCUCUCUGCUUCUGCCUCUGCCUUUCUGUAACUCUGCCUUUCAAAUAAAGAAAUAAUUAAAAAAAAAAACUCAGGUAAAUUCGUAAGGGAUUUCUCUACCUCACCCAUUGCAGCACGGUGCAUUAAAUGAAUCCAUUUAAUGUGUCUUUUUCACCCAUCAGACUCUGAAUAUGAUUCUUUGUAAGCCUAUUUCCACGCUAUCAUCUUGUGAUUUGGUUCAUUAUCUGUGUUUACAAACUUUGUUAUCUUAAAAACUGUAUCUCAAUAUCUUUCUCACAUUACCCAUUAAUUGUUUUUGAUAUUUAAAACAUGAAGGAUAAUUCAAAAGUGUACUAUAAAUUGAAAUCAUUUGUCUUCUCUUUCUGUCCCCACUGUUACCCCAUCUGUAGUAAUACAAAGACCAUGUCUCUUAAUUGUGGUAGCUACUCUUCGUGUUUUUCUCCAUAUGUGUAUAGUAACGUAUUUAAUCACAGCAUCUGUAAACUAUAUGUACAUGUAUUUAUAUAUAUUUUUACAUAUAUAUCUUGUAUAAUGGAGUCAUAUUCUAUAUUUGUCACUUGCCUGAUUGAUUUUAUUUUUCUUGUUUGUUUCUGUAUGUUAAUGGGUGAUUUUAUCUGUAUCUUUUCAUUAUUCUUACUUGUAUUUUUACUUAUUACAAAGGCAGACAUGCACAAAGGGAGACAGAGACACACAGGGAUCGUCCAUCUACCCUCUCAUUCCUCAGAUGCCUGCAGCUGCUGGAACUGGGCUAGGGCCAUGCCAGGAUUUCAAACUGAACCUGGGUUUCCCAUGUGGGUGUCCAGGGUUCCCAGAACUCGAGACGUUAUCUGCUGCCUCUCAGGGUGCUUUAGCUGGCAGGUGGAAUCAGAAGCAGAAUCUUGAACUCAGGGACUCUGGUAUGUGAUGCAGGAGUCCUAAGUGGUGAUUUGAGUGCUUGCCGUAUGCUGUCCCUUAAUUGUCUUUUGUACAUUGUCUCUUCAUUUUGUUUUGGAGGAGAAGCUGUGUUAUUGUAUACAGGAAUCUCAAUAGUGCACACUGAUCCUGCUUUGUGGGCUUGGGGUGACAGGACCAGUACUGGGCACUGGCAAGCACUAAUUCUUGGUUCACUGAUCUUAAGCAAGCUGGGCAUUCAAAUACCAUGUGGCCUAUAACUGCAUCUUUUUAUUGAUCAUUGGUGAUGAUGGUGAUUCCUGCCACCCAUCCCGAGAGUAAAUGGUAGGAGUGGGGAUUCUAUUGCAGGCUUCCAUGGACUGUGAUGUUUUUUCCCCUCGGACAGAGCGGUUGACGUGCAGACGAAUGAGAUUUACUGAAGUCUCCUGAGCUGAAGCAGGUGUUAACUCAUUGAAUGUGGUGCUUGUCUUGCGUGUUCACACAGAUGCUAUGUUCAGGGUGUAGAGUUGGGUCCACUGGUAAAGGAUUCAUUGAACACUGGAGUUCAGGGGUGUUUGGUGCAGCAGUUAAGGAACCAUCUGGGAGGAUGGCACCCAUCUGUGAGUGCUUGAGUUCUAGUUCCAGCUACCAUUCCAAUUCUAGCUACCUGUCAAUUCAUACCCUGUGGGGCAGCAGGUAAUGGCUUAGGUAGCUGGCUCCCUGCCAUCCAUGUGGGAGACCCAGACUGAGUUCCAGGUCCUCCCUGGGCUAUGCAGUGUGAUGGACUGGGUAGGGAGGACUCCUCACUUCUCAUGGAAUAAUUGUGAUUUUUCAGUGCUCUGUUGGGCCCUCUAUAUUCCCCCUGUGGUGCACAUGACCUGGGGCUCUGCCACCUUACUGGAGUUGCAAAGGCCUGACUGAGGGUGUGCAGGCAGGGACAAUGGAGGGAGCGUGAGGAGCUCUCCUGGGUCCAGUGCCUGAGCCUCCCCAGGGCGACAUCCUCCUCCUCCCUAGACUGGGCACCCUCACCCAGGGGUUCACUGAGCAGCCGCCACUCUUCACAUGGCCAGAGGCCCCCGUGGCAUGAAGAAGUCACAGUAGUCCCUGCACACGCUGCAGGCUCUGCUGGGAGUUACGGGGCACUCUGUGGAAACUCCAUACUAUGGAAUUGUGGGGUAUAGCAUCUGGAGCCAUUGGAGAAUCCUCAGGGAGGAGCUGGGCAGGGCUCACAGGGGCUGAAAGGGAUGAAGGAGACAGGGAGCCCAGCCUGGUGACAGCGAGGAUGAGGGUGCCCCCAAGGAAGCAGACGGGGCUCUGGAUAGCUGCAUGCUCACUCAGAGUCAGAGGCCACUUGGAGUCGGUCCAGAUUGCGGAAGGACACAUGGGCUUCGGCGGGAUGCCGCAGAGCUCCUGUCCACCCUGAAACUGAUGAACGAUGAGGAGCACGGAGCCCUGUGCAUGCUCCCCGAUCCACAGGGCAGGGCACAUGGAGCACUCACGGUGCUGAAGAGCUGGAUGCUCCGUUCCCUCGGCCUUCACUGAAGUGGGAAGCCGACAUCAAGGGGCAGGACUUACCACUAACUGAGCCCCACCCUGUCUGCAGCCCACACACCUGCUUUAGCGUCUCUGAACCUGCUCCUAUGUCUCCCAUCUGCCUGUGAGUUUCUGCCUUCCCCAGGAGUCACAUCCUCCAUCCCAGCACCCUCUCAUUUGUUUCCCUCCAUGUCCUCCUGGAGCUUGUCCAGGGGGCUUUUCUCCUCCUUUAUUGUCUUGGCUCUUAUCAUCUCAAGGACUUGGGUCACAGCCCAGCACUGCUCUGAAAGGUUCCGGGGAUAUUUAGCACCUUUAUGAAUUUUGCAAUUGCUUUCAUGCACUUAUCAUUGCUGCAGAACUCAUUUUGAUACCAACUACUCCACCUUUAAGCAGAUCGAAUUGGUUGAUCACACACCCCCUUGGGGGUGGAUGACGGUGCAGAGUGGACACAUGGACUCACCAUACUCUCCUGAAAUGUGCACUUUUCAGUCUACGGUACCUGACGUGUCCUCUAUGUUUAGUAGGGUCUCUGCUCAUGAUUUCCCCUGGGAUGUGACAUUCGUUUCUGGAUCUCACACCUGUGAUCUGCACACGUUCCUCACACACACUUGUCCCUAUCCCUGUGAGUGCUAUUUGUAUAUCUCCUGUGAUUUACCAGAGAGGCCCAUGAUCAGUCCCCUUUCAUUUGUCUCUGAAUCCACAUGUCUGCCAACUUCCUGUUUUUGAGGAUUAACAAAUAUACAGAUGAUUCCCAGGUUCCCUGAGUCCUCUGACCUGGGAGCAGAGGCAUUUGUCAUCCAGGGAGUGACACUCAGUGGUGUUAGCACAUUUGGGGUGUCUGGAAAGAAUUGUCUUCCAAUAGACGUGUACUCUGCAGGAGGGGACAGGAGCGUUGAGGUCACCAGAACCAUGGGUCAAGAGAAGACGUGCUCACCUGCUUAUUGUCUAUUUACAGCAUGGAGAAACUGUUUGCCUCUCCCAAGACAGCUGCCACUCACUGAUUCCUGCAAUGAUAGGGGCCCUGGACAGUGGAGACUGCUGCCUGCUCAGCUCCUUCCAACGCUGUGAGUGAAGCCCCUCUCUGCUUGAGUCUUCAGUGAUUCCUCUCUAUGGACUGAUGACUGCAUCCACUAAUGUGUGACUUCUUGCCUCCACCACGAAGUUAAAUAUGGCAAUCUCAAGAGGGGAUGAAAAAUCUCUUGUCUAAAAGUGUAUUUGUGUUCUUUCUGCUGUUCUUCCUCCUCCAGAUAGUCUUAAAUCUUUUCUUUGGAGCCUUCCCUUCCAUUCGCAGAACCUUUCAGCCGUUCUCUCGGGCUCUGUGGUCCACUGUGAAAUCUCUUAGUUUCCUAUCGUGUGAGAGUCUCUCUUAAUAUCCACUGGUUCCUGCAGGAUGAUUUGUCUGGACAUUGAGUUCCCGGCUGACACUUCUUUUAUUUCAGCAUUUCAGAAGUUUUGUGUCCUCUUCUUUUGGACAGCAGGGUUUCCAGAAGAAAUUUGCUCUUUGGUAUUCUUUUGGCCUGUAGAUGAUAUGUAGUUUUCCUCUUCCCCCAUUUCAACAUUUUGUCUGUCUGUAGUUUGCUGAUUUUUUACUAUCAUGUACCUUCUCAUGAGUUUGUUUGGGCUUAUUAUAUUUUAGUUUCACUCAGCUCCUUCAAAUUGUGGAUUUUAAUCUGUCGGAUUGAUGGUUGUUGGCCAUUAUUAUUUGACUACGUUUUCACCCAUGCCUUCUUUCUUUUCCUUCCAGGAAACAAAAACAAUAGGAAUGUUAAAUCCUUUACUAAUGCCUCCUGUGUCCCUCAGAAUUUGUUCUUUUUUAAAAAAAAUUUUAUAUGUUUCUCUGAUUGUAUAAUUUAUAUCUUUUUGUCUUCCAGUUGUUUUCUCUGUUCUAAUUUUGUGUCUAUCCAUGUAGAUUUUCCUUCAGUUAUUGUAUGUUUUAGUUCUAAAAUUCCCCACUGGCUCUUGUUUAUAUCUUAUUAUUUGCAGAGAUUCUGUACUUUCGCUUGUUUCAUGUAGUUUUGUACUUCCCUGGGAAGCAUCUUUAGGAAGCCUGCUUUGAAAUUCUGGUGAGACCAUUCUGACAUCUGUGUCACGUCAGGACUGGCAUCUGGGCACUGAGUUUCUCACUGAAGCUGAGAUUCUCCUGGUCUUAGAAGAGGGAACUCUGACUGUCCUCAAAUAUUUUGCAGGCAGCAGGUGGCUGAAAUCCUGGUGUGAUGUGGCUACACAACAUGUAACCUGCAACCCAGCACCAGAGACUUCAGCAUAGGUCUAGAAAUUUCCUAUACACGUCUCAACCUACUGAGCACCGCAGGAGGAGUCACUGGGACAACUCUUCACAUGGGUUCUGUGCCCGCUGACAGAACUCGGGAGCACCCGACUGUUUCAUCCUUUGCUGCCAGCAGGUUUAUUUUACCUGUAUUCUUUGAUGUAAAUUCAGGUUGGAAAUUCAAAGCUGAGGAUUUGGUACGAGGUCUUCCUCAUACUUGGACUUUGACGUGUAAUUACGUCGUUGGUCGCCCCUGCUACUUUGCUGUGAAGAUCGUGUCCUCUCUGGUGUGUCUGACAGGUGCUCUUCUGUGUCUGGCUGCUUCCGUCGUUACAGUGUGUGAGUCUUUGGAGUUAUUCUGAUAGGGUAUGAAAAAAAACAAAGUGUGUUUUCCCUGCUGUCACACUAAUUACAACCCAGCGUGUCCGGCCACCAAGAUGUGAGGCAAUUUCUCACUUCCCACAGCCACUCGGUUCUGAGGCAGAUUUCCCAGUGGAUGGCAGCUGGUGACCCACAGUUUUGUUCAGUUCCAGCUCUGCCCACCUGAGGCAGUGUGGCAUCCCACAGGUGAGGACCCAGUCCCAGGACCCCAUACCCACUCCAGGGGCCAGGUUGUGACCUGUGCUCAGAUCGACCAACAUAAAUUGGGGAUCCCAUGACCGCCUCACCCUGGAGUUUAACUGAUUUCCUAGAGCAGCUCACAGAACCCAGGGAAACAUGUCACCUGUGUUCGCCCAUGUAUUAUAAUGGAAUUACCGAGGAUACAGAAGAACAGCCACAUGGCCGAGAUGCCCGAGGCUGGACCUGUGGGAGGGGGUGGAGCUCCCGUGCCCUCCCAGGUGUGCCACCCUCCAGAAACCUGCCCGUGUUCUGCAACCAGGAAGUCCAUCUGAACUCUGACCUUUGGGUCUCUGUGAAGGCUGCCUCACCUAGGCUUGUUGGAUGACAUCACUGGCCAGUGUGACCAACUUAACCUUCAGCUGCCCUCUGGGGUUGAAAGUGCCAAUCCUGUGAUCAUGCCUUGUUCUCUCUGGAUGAGCAGCCACAUCCUGACGCCUUCCAGGUCCCCAUACAAAAGAAGUGGUUACCAUGCAGAGAUGUCAAAGGUUUUAGAGCUUAUUCGCAGGACAUGGAGGGCAGAGACCAGAUAUGUAUUUCUUCCUGUCAUAGUGAGUGUUGUUUCUGUGUAGAAUGGGAUCAUGGUUGGUGUGCACUCUUAGACUGUGUGGCUAUGUUCCUCUUGUCAGGUUUGGAGUUUUCCACUUCUUUGUAAAGAUGUAUUAUUUAUUUGAGAGGUGGAGUUACAAAGAGGGAGAGACAGAAAUGUCUAACAUCGGGGUUCACUUGCAUAAUCCCAGAGGUGUGCCAAUCCGAAGCCAGGAGCUUCUUCUGGGGUUCCACAUGAGUGCAUGUGCCCAGGCACUUAGACCAUCUUCUGCUGCUUUCCCAGGCCAUAGCAGAGUUUGAUUGGAAGAGGAGCAACCAGGUCUCGACCCGGUGACCAUAGGGAAGCCUGUGCUGCAGGAUGAGGCUUUACCUGCUAUGCUAUAGCACCGGCCCCAGUUUCCAACUGUGAAUUCUAGUGCUGUGAACAUUCUCGUUUGUACUGAUGGGGUUCAGGAAUAACUACUCCAAAACGUGACACUCUGGCAUGCAGAAUGUCGUAAGCUUUGAGAAAAUGGUAGAAGCAGGGAACCCAUUCUCACUCCCGCUCCCUGAAGCAGGUCAUCCGCCCUAGCUGGGAUUUUCUUCCCUUCCCCUCAAGUAGCAACUAGGAUGCUCACAGGACAGGUCCCUCUGUCCCCAGAGGACGGGGCCAUCCUUAUCUCUGAAUGAAAGGACACGGAGAACCAUCUGAGCCCGCAGGCCUGGGUGAGUGUCCUCUACUUUACUGUCAUGUGAUCAGACCCCUGCCCCCUGGGGUGUUUCUCCACAACUGUGCCUUGUGCAUCAACCCUGGACUAAAACCCUGUGGGCUAGCUGUUUCCUGGGCCUUCAGUUCCUUACACGGCCUCCUAUGUCAUGUAGAACUUACAUUACAUGUAUUUUAUAUUUCCCAUUUGCUAAUCUCAUUGUUACAGGGCUCUAGGCUGUGAGCAUUGGAUGUAUAGAGGAAAAGGUGUUUCUGUCCCCCUGGAAUCUUAUGCAUGAACGUUCAUUUCCAUUCCUCUUGCACCUACAGAUGAGGGGCAGUUUUUUUUUUUUUUUAAGAUUUUAUUUCUUUAUUUCAGAGCCAGAAUGAUGGAGAAAGGUCUUCCUUCCACUGGUUCACUCUCCAAAUGGCCACCAUGGGCAGAGCUGGGUUGAUCAGGAGCCAGCUGCGUUCCAGUUCUCCCACACGGGUGCAGGGGCCCAAGCACUUGGGCCAUCUUCUACUGCUUUCCCAGAUGACAGCAGAGAGCUGGAUUGGAAGUGGAGCAGCUGGAACUCAAACCAGCGCCCAUAUGGGAUGCUGGCACUGCAGGCAGCAGCUUUACCUGCUAGGCCACAGUGCCAGCCCCAGUCUGAACAUUUUGUACAAUAAAGCUUACAUAUUUAAAACGCAGGUAAAUUUAUUAAAUGAGAAUCUUCUACCUCCCCCCACUGUCUGCACAGCACAUUAAAUAAAUCUGUCAUUUUCACCCAUCAGAUUCUGAACAUGAUUCUUAGUGUACUUCCCCAUCAUUUUGUGAUGUGGUUCAUGGUUUCAGUAUGCACAAAGCUUUCUUAUUUUAAAAACUAACUCAGGAGCUGGCCUGUGGUACAAUGGUUUAAGCUGCUGCUUGCAAUGUCGGCAUGCCAUACUGGAGUGCUGGCUCAAGUCCCCGCUGCUCUGCCUCUGAUCCAACUCCCUGCUACUGUGCCUUUGAAAGCAGUGGGAGAUGGCCCACGUGCUCAGGCUCAUGCCACUCACAUAGGAGACCCAAAUGGAGUUCCUAGCUCCUGGUUUGGGUCUGGCCAAGACCUAGAUGUCACGGCCAUUUGGGGAGUGAACCAGAAAACAGAAGUCUGCCUCUCUCUGCCUUCCAACUAAUCUGAAUAUCUUUGUCAAUUUAACCAAUAAUUCCUUUUGCCAUUUAAGACAUAUCAAAGACAAUUAGAAUGUUGAGCCAGAAUUGUGGCACAGUGCAUUAAACCACUGCUGUGAUGCCCACAUCCCAUAUUUUAAUGCCAAUCCCGCUGCCUGCUAAUGUACCUGGGAGAUCUAGAUGCCAUUCCAGGCUUCUGCCAUUUCCAGAGUUGACCCGUGAAUAGAAGAUCUCUGUCUCUCCCCUUCUCGGUUACUCUCCUUUCAAAUAAAUAAAACAUCUUUAAAUAAAAUAUAUAUUAGAAGUUAAAAUUACUUUGUAUCUUUCUGUUCCCACUUAUACCCCAAUCCCAGAUACAAAGACCUUUUCUUAUUGGCACCUAUUUUCCAUAUGUAUACCAUAACAUACCUAUAAGUUAUUUAAGUAUAUUCUCUACCACGAUGGAACAAUAUUGUACAUUAUAUUUUGUGACUUACCUAAUUAACUAAACAUGAUUAUUAUUUAUUUUUUUCUUUCUGCUUCCUUUCAUUUGUUUUCAUAUCAACGAAAUUUUUUUUACAGUUUUUAAAGUUUAUUUUUAUUAGAAAGGCAGACACACAAAAAGAGAAGACAGAGUGAGACUGAUAUUUUUGGUCCACUUCUUAACUCUUCAAAUGCCUGUAGUAGUUGGAACUGGGCUAGGCCCAAGCCCGGAGUUUCAACUCAAUCCCACUCUCCCACGAUGAUGUCCCGGGACCCAAGAACAUGAGCCAUCCCCUGCUCUCUGCCAGGGUGCACUUCAGCCAGAAGCUGGAAUCAGGAGAACUGGGCCCCGAGCCAGGCACUCUGAUCUGGGAUGCGGCUGCCCAAGCAGCAAUCUAACUGCUGCGCCCAACGCCUGCCCCUUAUUCUGCUUCUGUUGUGCGCUCUUAAUAGCAUUGACUUUUUUUUUUAAGAUUUAUUUACCUACCUGAAAGGUGAGCUACAGAGACAGAGGUCUUCCAUGCAAUGUUUCCCUCCCCAGAUGGCCACAAUGGCUGGAGCUGCACCGAUCUGAAGCCAGGAGCUUCUUCCAGGUCUCCCACAUGGGUACAGGGGCCCAGAGACUUGGGCCAUACUCCACUGCCCUCCCAGGCCACAGCAGAGAGCUGGACUGGAAGUGGAACAGCCAGGACUUGAACCAGCACCCACAUAGGAUGCCGGCACUUGCAGGCGGUGGCUUUACCUGCUAUGCCACAGCACCAGCCCCAAUACCAUUG
Non-coding RNA from Oryctolagus cuniculus (rabbit), 17432 nucleotides. The record is from RefSeq and is a predicted model, not a curated record. Lineage: Eukaryota; Metazoa; Chordata; Mammalia; Lagomorpha; Leporidae.